Molecule: ribosomal RNA, 500 nt
Filed under: uncultured bacterium
Lineage: Bacteria
Description: partial 16S ribosomal RNA
Rfam family: Bacterial small subunit ribosomal RNA
Source: RNAcentral
AUUGAACGCUGGCGGCAGGCCUAACACAUGCAAGUCGAGCGGUUGAAGGGAGCUUGCUCCCUGAUUCAGCGGCGGACGGGUGAGUAAUGCCCAGGAAUCUGCCUAUUAGUGGGGGACAACGUUUCGAAAGGAACGCUAAUACCGCAUACGUCCUACGGGAGAAAGCAGGGGACCUUCGGGCCUUGCGCUAAUAGAUGAGCCUAGGUCGGAUUAGCUUGUUGGUGAGGUAAUGGCUCACCAAGGCGACGAUCCGUAACUGGUCUGAGAGGAUGAUCAGUCACACUGGAACUGAGACACGGUCCAGACUCCUACGGGAGGCAGCAGUGGGGAAUAUUGGACAAUGGGCGAAAGCCUGAUCCAGCCAUGCCGCGUGCGUGAAGAAGGUCUUCGGAUUGUAAAGCACUUUAAGUUGGGAGGAAGGGUUGUAGAUUAAUACUCUGCAAUUUUGACGUUACCGACAGAAUAAGCACCGGCUAACUCUGUGCCAGCCGCCGCCGUAA